GACGGAGGAUGCAAGCGUUAUCCGGAAUGAUUGGGCGUAAAGCGUCCGCAGGUGGCAGUUCAAGUCUGCUGUCAAAGACCGGGGCUUAACUUCGGAAAGGCAGUGGAAACUGAACAGCUAGAGUAUGGUAGGGGCAGAGGGAAUUCCAGGUGUAGCGGUGAAAUGCGUAGAUAUCUGGAGGAAUACCGGUGGCGAAGGCGGCAUCCUGGACCGGCAUUGACGCUGAGGAGCGAAAGCCAGGGGAGCAAACGGG
RNAcentral lists this ribosomal RNA (253 nucleotides) under uncultured bacterium. RNAcentral's name for it is "partial 16S ribosomal RNA". It matches the Rfam family "Bacterial small subunit ribosomal RNA", at positions 524 to 776 of the family's 1533-position model. The record is from RNAcentral.